AGAGUUUGAUCCUGGCUCAGGAUGAACGCUAGCGGCAGGCUUAAUACAUGCAAGUCGUGGGGCAGCGCAGUGUAGCAAUACAUGGGCGGCGACCGGCAAACGGGUGCGGAACACGUACGCAACCUUCCUUUAAGUGGGGGAUAGCCCAGGGAAACUUGGAUUAAUACCCCGUAAUACUAUGAAGUGGCAUCACUUUAUAAUUAUAGCUCCGGCGCUUAAAGAUGGGCGUGCGCCUGAUUAGGUAGUUGGCGGGGUAACGGCCCACCAAGCCUUCGAUCAGUAACUGGUGUGAGAGCACGACCAGUCACACGGGCACUGAGACACGGGCCCGACUCCUACGGGAGGCAGCAGUAAGGAAUAUUGGUCAAUGGACGCAAGUCUGAACCAGCCAUGCCGCGUGGAGGAUGAAGGUCCUCUGGAUUGUAAACUUCUUUUAUUUGGGAAGAAACCCACGAUUUCUAUUGUGGUUGACGGUACCAGAUGAAUAAGCACCGGCUAACUCCGUGCCAGCAGCCGCGGUAAUACGGAGGGUGCAAGCGUUAUCCGGAUUCACUGGGUUUAAAGGGUGCGUAGGCGGGCAGGUAAGUCAGUGGUGAAAUCUCCGAGCUUAACUUGGAAACUGCCGUUGAUACUAUCUGUCUUGAAUGCUGUGGAGGUAAGCGGAAUAUGUCAUGUAGCGGUGAAAUGCUUAGAUAUGACAUAGAACACCUAUUGCGAAGGCAGCUUGCUACACAGAAAUUGACGCUGAGGCACGAAAGCGUGGGGAUCAAACAGGAUUAGAUACCCUGGUAGUCCACGCC
Molecule: ribosomal RNA, 800 nt
Filed under: uncultured bacterium
Lineage: Bacteria
Description: bacterial SSU rRNA
Rfam family: Bacterial small subunit ribosomal RNA
Source: RNAcentral